Molecule: ribosomal RNA, 486 nt
Filed under: uncultured bacterium
Lineage: Bacteria
Description: bacterial SSU rRNA
Rfam family: Bacterial small subunit ribosomal RNA
Source: RNAcentral
AUUGAACGCUGGCGGCAUGCCUUACACAUGCAAGUCGAACGGCAGCACGGGUGCUUGCACCUGGUGGCGAGUGGCGAACGGGUGAGUAAUACAUCGGAACGUACCCGGAAGUGGGGGAUAACGUAGCGAAAGUUACGCUAAUACCGCAUAUUCUGUGAGCAGGAAAGCAGGGGAUCGCAAGACCUUGCGCUUUCGGAGCGGCCGAUGUCAGAUUAGCUAGUUGGUGAGGUAAAGGCUCACCAAGGCGACGAUCUGUAGCGGGUCUGAGAGGAUGAUCCGCCACACUGGAACUGAGACACGGUCCAGACUCCUACGGGAGGCAGCAGUGGGGAAUUUUGGACAAUGGGCGCAAGCCUGAUCCAGCCAUGCCGCGUGAGUGAAGAAGGCCUUCGGGUUGUAAAGCUCUUUCGCGAGGGAAGAAAAGGUACGGGCUAAUACCCUGUGCUGAUGACGGUACCUUGAUAAGAAGCACCGGCUAACUACGUG